AGCAGUGAAUACAGUUCUAUCACAAUUUGCGGGAUUACAAUAUAAGAAUGGCUACCUAACAACGCAAAGUAGUUCUACACAGAUUUUCUUGUCACACACAAGUGAUAAGAUUUUGAAUUGUCAGUAGUUCAUUUUUGAUUGUGUUAUUUCUAUCGUAUAUUAUUUGCAUGUUUUCAGGAUAUAAUCAGUAAAAAAUACCAUUAGUAUUCAUUCGCGUUAACUUUGAGUAAGGAAGUAGUUCGUACCAAAACAAAGUUUUCGACGCUAUUUUUGUAUGUGAAAGCUGAUCUCAUCAUUUUCUAAAAGUAGGUACAGAAAACUUACCAAUAUUAUUUAAACCUAAUGUAAUCAGUUUUGGAAUUCUUAUUUGGAUUUCAUGAUGUGUAAACUAACAGUGUUGAUAAUUCAGGUGUCUUGAUAUAUUUUUUGUUGUUUGAGUUGUUUCCCUUGGUUUUCCGCAAUAUCACUAGUUUUGUCUAUGUUUAAGCGGCUUUGUUUGUAAAAAGUUCAAAGUGUUCUUAAUUUAUUGGAAAUAUGGAUUAUUGAUAGUUGAAGUUACAGCAGAGAGAGAGUUUGACAGUAUGCGUGUUUGAAGAAGAUAAUGCUAUUAUUGGUAGAUCUACAUUCAAUUCCACGAACUGAGUGUUGAUUUCCUCGAUUUCAUUGACUCGAUGAUUCAUUCUCUGAUUGAUGAUUGUUGAAUGUUGAUUGAAUGUUCUAAUGAUCAAUCAACUUAUUGAUUUACUGAUUGAUUGGACAUGUCAUGGAGCUUAAUAUAGAUGGAGAAGUAACUUAGACGUCAUACAGUUAAAUUCAGUAUUAUUGGGGUUGUUCUAACGCAAGUUAUCAUGUGUUUCGGGAUUUUCCAAGAUUUGUUGCAUCCUGGGUAAUAGUAGCCAAAAUACCGCCAUAUUGAAUUCCAAGAGGAACAUUGACAAAAAAAGACGAAGCAUUUUCUACUUACAUAAGAAGCAAUAGUUAUUUAUGUUAAAACGUACCAUACACACUUUUCCACACAGAUAUUUCUCCAAAAAAAAACAAUGUCGGCAAUGUAAACAGUAGUUCAUGGAUAUCGCUGAAGUUUAACGAGAGUGCGAGAAUCGGGGACUAGUGGGAAAACCCAAUUAUUACCGAAGCACACUGUGGAUCUGAAUCUAUCAACUAUUUCCUGAGCUUCCUAUCCAUUGUAUAUAUAUCUGUGGUAUCUGUGGACAUGUAAGACGAAUAUAUGUGAACUGUAAGAUGUUGAAAUGUGCAAAGUUGUUUGUUUAGAAGAGAAAAACACAAUUUUUGGAGAAACUUUUUGUUUGAAUGAUCAAGGUAUAAACACUUUUUGUAAAUGGACAUCAGGCUACCAUUUUCAUAGUAAUGGCAGGGCUUCCAUUAAUGGAAGUUUGGGAGUCAUUUCACUCCUUGAAUUUGGCUUGUGACUUCCAAAAUGUAAUGCUUUUUUCUUCUUUACCAAUAUUUUGUGACUUCCAAUGUCAAGACAUUUUGCAGUCUUUGACUUCCAAAUUUUGAAUCUUAAUGGAAGCCCUGAAUGCCAAUGGACGUACAUGUUUUACCUAAAUUGUAUUGGAAAUAUGUGAAAAACUUCCUUUUAAAAGUUUCUAGCUGCAGUUAAGCAGAGAAAUGCAUUGGAUACCUCAGAAUAUUGCUAUGUUGUUAAAAAAUUUCCAAGCCUUAUGGUCACAUAUUCAAGGAAAAAUUCGAAGAAAGGAAAAUAGAUUGUCAGGUGUAUAGAUUUCCAGUCUGCUUAUCAUUUACAUACAAUCUGGAAAACUUCAGUAGUGUCACUGGGGUCAAAAUUAAUCCUGUCUAAUGGUAAUGUUGUAAAAAGUUCUAUUUUUUGUUUAAAGCAUAAAGUUUAAUGUAUAUAUGUAUUAUAAUAGAAAUUAGAUAUAUGUAUGGAUAUUUUGUGUAAACCAACAUGUGAAAACCCUGGAACAUCAUUGCUAAAGCAAUAUUGUUAGGUACAAUACCAUACAUUUAAUAUUGUUAGGUACAAUACCAUACAUUUAAAAGGCAAGAAAGGUACGGUAAUAAUAUCAUUUACUAUAGAUUUAGAAUGCAAGAAAAGAUAAAAUAUCAUUCCUCGCUUCUUAGUACAAAAAGUGCCAUAUCACUUUUAUAUUUAUAUUAAUGUUUACUGCAUAAAACACUUUCUUACUUUUCAUUUUUAGCUAGACUAUACAAAGUAUAUGGAGAGCCGUCCUUCUUGCCCCGGCGUCCGCGUCCUUAUUUAGAUUAAAGUUUUGGUUUUCCAUAUCAUCAACCACAUCUUAUGUGACAAGGUUCAUAAUUCUAGCACCACUUUUUUCAGAUUUAUCUCCCCUUGAACUUAGAAUUUUCCUUAAAAAAUAUUAUUUUCUAUCGUUACUUCCUUAUUUCUUAAGGGAUCAACUUCAUACUUCAAAUAUAUGUUCCUUAUCAUCAACCACAUCUUAUGUGACAAGGUUAAUUACUCUAGCACCAAUAUUUUCAAAUUCAUCUCCUCUUGAAGAUAGAAUUUUCCUAAAAAAAGUUAUUUUUAGCUCGACUAUUUGAUAAGAAUAAGUAGAGCUAUUGUAGUCACCAGUGCGUCAGUGUUGGUGUCGGCGUCUGUGUCAGCGUAGGUGUAGUAACAUAUGUUAAAAUUUUUGUAAUAUCUCCAAUAUCAAAGUCCAUUGAUAUAUGGCUUUGAAACUUUGCACACAUGUUCACCAUCAUGACCCCAACCUGUAGACAGGAGGAGAUAACUGGAUCAAGCAUUUUGACAGAAUUAUGCCCCUUUUCUAACUUAAAAGAAAAGUUGGCCCUAUAACAGUAACAUGGAUUUAAAGGAAAAUUUGGCCCUUUUGUUAACAUUUUACAUUAUCAAGGCUCUUUUUCUAUCAAGCACUUAGUAUGGUAGAGCGUUGCUGUCCUACCGACAACUAUUAUUUACUGUUACUUAUUUAUUUCAUAAGGGAUCAACUUCAUAUUUCAAAUAUAUGUUCCUUAUCAUUAACCAAAUGUUAUGUGACAAGGUUGUUAACGCUAGCACCAAUAUUGCAAGAAUUACCUCCCCAUGAACUUAUAUUUUUUUUACUUGAAAAAUAUUAUUUUUUACUAUGACUUCUUUAGUUUCAAAGGCAUCUUUCUCUUACUUCAAAUACAUAUUCCUUAUCAUCAAUUACAUCUUAUGUGACUAGGUUCAUAACUCUUAAAGCAAUAUUUUCAGGUUAAUAUCCCUUUGAACUUAGGAUUUUUUUAAAAGAAAUAUUAUAAUUAAUUUAAUUUACUUUUUAGCUCGACUAUUCGAAGAAUAUGAGAGCUAUUGUAGUCGCCCCGGCGUCAGCGUCCGCGUCAGCGUCUGCGUUGGUUAAAGUUUUUUGUAAAGUCAAAUAUCUCAAUUAUUACUUGAGAUAUUCAAUUGAAACUUACAAUACUUAUUUAUAGUAACAAGGCCCAUCAGAUUGACAAGUUGGAUAACUCUGCCUACAAUAUUGACAGAAUUAUGCCCCUUUUUAACUUAGAAAUUUGGUUAAAGUUUUUUGUAAAGUCAAAUAUCUCAAUCAAUGCUUGAGAUAUUCAAUUGAAACUUACAGUACUUAUUUAAGUAACAAGGUACAUCAGAUUGACAAGUUGGAUAACUCUGCCUACAAUAUUGACAGAAGUAUGCCCCUUUGGAACUUAGAAAUUUUGGUUAAAGUUUUUUUGUAAAGUCAAAUAUCUCAAUUAUUGCUUGAGAUAUUCAAUUGAAAUUUAAAAUACUUUUUUAUAGUAACAAUGUACAUCAGUUUGCAAAAUUGCAUAACUCUGCCUUCAAUAUUUGCAGAAUUAUUUGCCCCUUUGAAACUUAGAAAUUUUGGUUAAAGAUUAAAGGUCUUCAAAGAUAUUUACUUGAAACUUUACACAUGCACUUAGGGUCAUAAUUGGACGGUCAUAAUUGUAUGUCACUGACCAAGUUCCAUAACUCUAUCUUGCAUUAAGGCUGAUUCAUAUCCCCUUUUCUACUUAGUCUCUUGGUUAAUGUUUACAUGCAAGUUUUACAUAUCUCAAUAACUAUUAAAGAUAUUCAUUAAAAACUUCACAUAUGCAUUUAGGGUCAUAAUUGUAGGUCACUGACAAAGAUCCAUAAUUCUAUCUUGCAUUUAGGCUGAUUUUUCUCUCCCUUUUUCAAUUUAGAAAUUCAUGGUUAAGUUUUUCUUGUAAGUUGUUAUCUCAAUAACUACUAAAGGGUUGGUGCCUUUUUCGGGACAAUUUUAUGCAUUCAUAAUAAUAAAGCAGUGAGUUACUUGAUAAAACAUCUUAAUAACAAGCCUUUGUACCUUUUCUGUCAAAUUUAUUUAUUCAUAGGUAAUUAGUAUUAUUAUACUCAAUAAAACACCCUUGUGACAUUACCUUCCAAAUAGUCAAGCCAAUACUGUAUAGUUAGACUCUCUCUUAAGCCUAUAACAUGAAUUUAUAAAAAAAAAUUAGCCCUUUUGUGAACUUAAAAAAUUAAACAAUAUAAAGGCUCUUUUACUAUCAAGCACUUAGAAUAGUCGAGCGUGCUGUCCUACAGACAGCUCUUGUUUAUAUUUCUUAUCAUUACACAUAUGUUGUGCGACAAGCAUGACUAUUUCCAGAAUUACCCCCCCCCCCCACCUUGAACUUAUUUAUGGAAUAUAUGUAAACAAAUGUUCAUGGUUUUGUCUUCCAUACCAACUUAUCUCAGCCUCUUGAUAUUUGGUAUACAGUAUUGACGUGGUCCCAUACCGUCGGAUUUGAUUUCAGGUCGGUCGCUCACCACGCCCUGUUUACCGUUAAAUUUUCAACAUUAAUGGUCAAUGGUAGGAAAUUUUCGUAACAGUUUUUUUAGCAACUACUUAUCACAGGCUCUUGAUAUUAGACAAACAGCAUUGAAAUAUGGUCUCAUACUGUGGGAUUCGAUUUCAAGUCUUUCACUCAUCCACUUCCUGUUAACUGACUUAGUUAAAUUUUCCACAUUAAUGGUCAGUGGUAAAUUUUUUCAAAACAUUACAGCAUCAUGAUAUUUGGUAUAGAAAUGCAACCUGGCCUUUUCUGUCUUUGACCCAUUUUUUUAUGCCCCCCUUCGAAGAAGAGGGGGUAUAUUGUUUUGCUAAUGUCGUCUGUCGGUCGGUCUGUCCGUCGGUAGACCACAUGGUUUCCGCUGAUUAUCUUGAAAAGUAUGUAUCACAAAGUCUUCAUAUUUCACACAGUGAUUGGUCUUCACUAGUAGAUGACCCCUAUUGAUUUUGGGGUCACUAGGUCAAAGGUCAAGGUCACAGGGACCUUAAAUGUCAAAAUGGUUUCCGCUGAUUAUCUUGAAAAGUAUGUAUCACAAAGUCUUCAUAUUUCACACAGUGAUUGGUCAUCACAAGUAGAUGACCCCUAUUGAUUUUGGGGUCAAAGGUCAAGGUCACAGGGACCUUAAAUGUCAAAAUGGUUUCCGCUGAUUAUCUUGAAAAGUAUGUAUCACAAAGUCUUCAUAUUUCACAUAGUGAUUGGUCAUCACUAGUCGAUGACCCCUAUUGAUUUUGGGGUCAAUAGGUCAAAGGUCAAGGUCACAGGGGCCUUUAAUGUCAAAAUGGCUUUCGUUGAUUUUUCCAUAAUUGAACACUUCCAUGUACCCAUUUUUGGCAAGUUUCUGUAAUAAAAUUACCAAUUAUGUGAGUCAAUGGCUAGAAAGGGGGGUAUAUGUGUCGUUCGACAUUCUUGUUUUUUUUUUUUGUUUUUUUUUAAAUUUUGAAAUCAUUCAUUUAUUAUUGUUGAAAUCUACUUAUAAUACCUUUAAAAUACCAUGUUCCCAGUACUUUUUAUUUACAUGCUUAAGUUGUUCUUAACAAAACAAACUUGUACAUUCCUUUAUUAGAAAUUGUUUUUUUUAUAUAACCAGGCACAAGUGACAUGAUAAUAUUUAUUUAUAUGCUAUUAUCAUUGUGGACACAAACUGUAAACAAAGGUUACUUAAUCAUUUUUUAUUCUAGUCAAAGUAAAAAAUAUUUUGCAUGUGUUCAUUAUUUAUCUAUUGAAAUUUGACAAACAGUGAUUGCACUAGAGUUAUAUCAGAAAGUUUGUGGGAGCUUUACAUGCUCAUAACAUUUCUAUCUUUGUCAGAGAAAUAUUUGACUUCUGAGAACUAUUUUGACUUCAAUUUCCGAAGAAACAUGAAACUACACCCCAAAUUUAAAUGCAUAAUAACUAUUACAUUUGUUUGACUUAACUGUUUCUUAUGGUCAAUAGUGUUACAUGUAUAUAUUUUUUUUUAUGUUCAAUUUACAUUUGCUUGUUUUUCUAUCAUUUCAAUCCAUUGUCUUAAUCAUUAUAUAACUUGAUUAUACCUUAAUUAUGUAGCAUUGUUUUUAGAUUUACAGUGUAUUUGCAAUUUUGUGAACAUUUAUCAGUAAGUAAUAUUCUUGAUAAAAGAAAUUUCACAAUUGAUAUGAAGUACCAAGCCAUUUAUACAGUGUGUUUCCGAUUUAUGAAAAUGUUUUUACAAAUGACUUAAAAUUGAGCAAUCACCAUACUUUCUAGCAUAAGAAUCUUAAAAUAAAAUUACUUAAAUUGCAAGCAAGUUGCAAUUUUAUACAUGAGAUAAACAUUAUCGUGACCAAAUUUGUUUUUCAUAUUAGCAAGUUCUGUAUAUAUGCUUUAAUUAGAAAAGAACACUGAUUAUGUAUGAAGUAACUGAAAUAUUGAAAGCUUUAUAAUGGAAUGUUUGUCAUGCAACAUUAAAUUGUGUAAGAUUCAGACUAUUAGAUAAGGCGAUGUACCUAUUAAUGCUGUUAUAAUUACAUGUAUUAUUAUUGUGAGUAAAAAGGUUCUGGGGAUAUUUCUAUCAUGUUUUAACCAGGGGCAUAGAUAAUAUAUAUUGUUUACUUUUUUAUCAAUAUUGCAAUUGGUUUUAAAGCUGUGUUUUCUUAAAUAUGGAUAUUAUUGAAUCAUCCUUGACAUCAGUAUUCUCAUUUUUUAGCUCACAUUAGCAAAAGGUCAGCUAUUACAGACAGUCAAAGAUUCCUGGUCUGUCCGUCAUCCAUAUUUCAAUAAUGUCAUAUUAGUUUGAAAACGUCAAAAAUUCUCAUUUACUGUGUGCAAGAACGCUUUAAAUUAAUUUGGUCUUUUGCAUGAUAAGGUCACAGUAGGUAAAAAAAGAUUAGAUAUUACAACCAUCCU
Molecule: long non-coding RNA, 7140 nt
Organism: Ruditapes philippinarum (Manila clam)
Lineage: Eukaryota; Metazoa; Mollusca; Bivalvia; Venerida; Veneridae
Exons: 3
Source: RefSeq, a predicted model, not a curated record